RNAcentral lists this unclassified non-coding RNA (290 nucleotides) under uncultured Coprinopsis. RNAcentral's name for it is "sequence contains ITS2". The stretch from base 1 to 52 matches the Rfam family "5.8S ribosomal RNA", at positions 103 to 154 of the family's 154-position model. Lineage: Eukaryota; Fungi; Basidiomycota; Agaricomycetes; Agaricales; Psathyrellaceae. The record is from RNAcentral.
AACGCACCUUGCGCUCCUUGGUAUUCCGAGGAGCAUGCCUGUUUGAGUGUCAUUAAAUUCUCAACCUCACCAACUUUGUUGUGUGAAGGCUUGGAUGUGGGGGUUGCAGGUCCGCACUCGUGUGGUCUGCUCCUCUAAAACGUAUUAGUGGGUUAGUCCCCUAAUCUAUUGGUGUGAUAAUUAUCUACGCCGUGGAUUUGGAAGGCAAUCAUAGACCUGCUUCUAACCGUCCUCUGGACAACCUUGACAAUUUUGACCUCAAAUCAGGUAAGACUACCCGCUGAACUUAA